UAAGAGGUCCCGCCUGCCCUGUGACUAUUUGUUUAACGGCCGCGGUAUUUUGACCGUGCAAAGGUAGCGCAAUCACUUGUCUUUUAAAUGAAGACCCGUAUGAAUGGCAUAACGAGGGCUUAGCUGUCUCCUCUUUCCAGUCAAUGAAGUUGAUCUUCCCGUGCAGAAGCGGGAAUAUAAUCAUAAGACGAGAAGACCCUAUGGAGCUUUAGACACAAAAGCAGCCCACAUUAAACACCCCAAAUAAGGGACUAAACCAAGGGGGCCCUGCCCUAAUGUCUUUGGUUGGGGCGACCGCGGGGAAUUAAAGAACCCCCACGUGGAAUGGGCACACUUUUCCUACAACUAAGAGCUACAGCUCUAGAAAACAGAAUUUCUGACCAACAAGAUCCGGCAAUGCCGAUCAACGGACCGAGUUACCCUAGGGAUAACAGCGCAAUCCUCUUUUAGAGCCCAUAUCGACAAGGGGGUUUACGACCUCGAUGUUGGAUCAGGACAUCCUAAUGGUGCAGCCGCUAUUAAGGGUUCGUU
Molecule: ribosomal RNA, 531 nt
Filed under: Cottus sp. 'Nippenose Valley' (Pennsylvania grotto sculpin)
Lineage: Eukaryota; Metazoa; Chordata; Actinopteri; Perciformes; Cottidae
Description: partial 16S ribosomal RNA
Rfam family: Bacterial large subunit ribosomal RNA
Source: RNAcentral